CGAGAGUUUGAUCCUGGCUCAGGAUGAACGCUAGCGGCAGGCUUAACACAUGCAAGUCGAGGGGUAUAGUUCUUCGGAGCUAGAGACCGGCGCACGGGUGCGUAACGCGUAUGCAAUCUACCUUAUACAGGGAAUAGCCCAGAGAAAUUUGGAUUAAUACCUCAUAGUAUGUGAGAAUCGCAUGGUUUUCACAUUAAAGUUCCAACGGUAAAAGAUGAGCAUGCGUCCCAUUAGCUUGUUGGUAAGGUAACGGCUUACCAAGGCAACGAUGGGAUAGGGGUCCUGAGAGGGAGAUCCCCCGACACUGGUACUGAGACACGGGGCCAGACUCCGUACGGGAGGCAGCAGUAGGGAAUAUUGGGGCAAUGGACGCAAGUCUGACCCAGCCCAUGCCCGCGUGCAGGAUGAA
RNAcentral lists this ribosomal RNA (409 nucleotides) under uncultured Flavobacterium sp. RNAcentral describes it as "bacterial SSU rRNA". It matches the Rfam family "Bacterial small subunit ribosomal RNA", at positions 1 to 412 of the family's 1533-position model. The record is from RNAcentral. Lineage: Bacteria; Pseudomonadati; Bacteroidota; Flavobacteriia; Flavobacteriales; Flavobacteriaceae.